UACGUAGGGGGCUAGCGUUUGUCCGGAAUCAUUGGGCGUAAAGCGCACGUAGGCGGCUUUGUAAGUCGGAUGUGAAAUCCCUCGGCUUAACCAAGGAAGUGCAUCCGAAACUACAGAGCUUGAGUACUUAAGAGGAUCGCGGAAUUCCCGGUGUAGAGGUGAAAUUCGUAGAUAUCGGGAGGAACACCAGUGGCGAAGGCGGCGAUCUGGGAAGAUACUGACGCUGAGGUGCGAAAGCGUGGGGAGCAAACAGG
Molecule: ribosomal RNA, 254 nt
Filed under: uncultured bacterium
Lineage: Bacteria
Description: partial 16S ribosomal RNA
Rfam family: Bacterial small subunit ribosomal RNA
Source: RNAcentral